GUGGGGAAUAUUGGACAAUGGGCGCAAGCCUGAUCCAGCCAUGCCGCGUGAGUGAUGAAGGCCUUAGGGUUGUAAAGCUCUUUCGUCAGGGAAGAUAAUGACGGUACCUGAAGAAGAAGCCCCGGCUAACUUCGUGCCAGCAGCCGCGGUAAUACGAAGGGGGCUAGCGUUGCUCGGAAUCACUGGGCGUAAAGCGCACGUAGGCGGCUUUCUAAGUCAGGGGUGAAAUCCUGGAGCUCAACUCCAGAACUGCCUUUGAUACUGGAGAGCUUGAGUUCGGGAGAGGUGAGUGGAACUGCGAGUGUAGAGGUGAAAUUCGUAGAUAUUAGGAAGAACACCAGUGGCGAAGGCGGCUCACUGGUCCGGUACUGACGCUGAGGUGCGAAAGCGUGGGGAGCAAACAGGAUUAGAUACCCUAGUAGUCC
RNAcentral lists this ribosomal RNA (425 nucleotides) under uncultured bacterium. RNAcentral describes it as "partial 16S ribosomal RNA". It matches the Rfam family "Bacterial small subunit ribosomal RNA", at positions 354 to 796 of the family's 1533-position model. The record is from RNAcentral.